UACGUAGGAGGCGAGCGUUGUCCGGAAUUACUGGGCGUAAAGAGCUCGUAGGUGGUUUGUCGCGUUGUUCGUGAAAACUCACAGCUUAACUGUGGGCGUGCGGGCGAUACGGGCAGACUUGAGUACUGCAGGGGAGACUGGAAUUCCUGGUGUAGCGGUGGAAUGCGCAGAUAUCAGGAGGAACACCGGUGGCGAAGGCGGGUCUCUGGGCAGUAACUGACGCUGAGGAGCGAAAGCGUGGGGAGCGAACAGG
This 253-nucleotide ribosomal RNA is filed under the name uncultured bacterium. Its description in RNAcentral is "partial 16S ribosomal RNA". It matches the Rfam family "Bacterial small subunit ribosomal RNA", at positions 524 to 776 of the family's 1533-position model. The record is from RNAcentral.